ACCUAGUGAUGUGGGAAUUUAUGGAGUAGGUCCCUAAAGCACUCCCACGUAUCGAAAAAAAGUUCCCCAUCCAUUCGUGAGAAACUUGUGAUGGCUCUUCGAAGAU
This is a small nucleolar RNA of Malania oleifera, 106 nucleotides long. Lineage: Eukaryota; Viridiplantae; Streptophyta; Magnoliopsida; Santalales; Ximeniaceae. The record is from RefSeq and is a predicted model, not a curated record.